AUGGCGGAAUCCUCGGCGACGGGCGCUGGCGGAGAGCUGAUGGCGGCGAUGGCGGCGAUGGCGGCGGCGGAAGGCUCCUCGAGCUCGGCCGGCUUGCCUCUGGGCCGGAGCUUCUCCAACUACCGGCCCUUCGAGCCCCGGGCGUUGGGGCUUAGCCCGAGCUGGCUGCUGGCGGGCUUCUCCCGCAGGAAGGGCUCAGGCUGCACGGCCCCCCAGGAGAUGCCGCUCAAACUCCUGGCGGGACUGACGCGGCCGGACGUGCGGCGCCCCCUGGGCCGGGGCCUGGUGGGAGGCCAGGAAGAGGCGGCCCGGGAAGCCCGCCUGCCAGCAGCGACAGGCCCCAGCCCCACAUUUCCAGCCCUGGGCAUUGGGACAGCUCCUGCGUCAUGGCCCUGAGGCAUGGGGGCCUCUGGUGCAGAUCUCAGACUUCUUUCACCCCUUGGCGGAAGAUCCUUACGUGGUGGGGUGCAGAGCUUGUGCCAGCGUGCUGAGUGACCUCUACGCCGUGGGCAUUACUGAACGUGACAACAUGUUAAUGCUACUCAGUGUCAGCCAGGGUAUGAGUGAGGAGGUAGCGGAAAAAGGAACGCCACUCACGAUCAAAGGCUUUCGGGAUGCUGCGGAGGAGGGAGGACUGCAGUGACGGGUGGACAAAUAGUAGUCGACCCUUGGACUAUCAUCCAUGGAGUUGCCACUGUGGUAUGUCAGCCAAAUGAAUUCAUAAUGCCUGACGGACGAUGCGGUUGUUGGGGAUGUGCUCGUGUUAACCCAACCCUCAGGAACCCAAGUUGCUGUCCACCCAAGUUGCUGUCAAUGCCCACCAGUGGCUGGAUAAUCUUUAAAGAUGGUGGUCUCCAGAGAAGAGGUAGAGCUGGCCUUUCAGGAAGCUGCGCUCAAUAUGGCUACCCUAAACAGAACUGCUGGAUUAAUGCACACAUUAAUUCCCAUGCCGCUGCAGAUAUCACUGGCUUUGGCAUCCUAGGACAUUCUUAGAACCUUGCAAAACAACAAAGAAAUGAAGCGUCCUUUGUCAUUCAUAAUCUGCUGAUUAUUGCCAAGAUGGCUGCCAUCAGCAAGGCCAGUGGGCGGUUUGGGUUCUUUAAGGAACCUCAGCUGAAACCUCUGGGGGACUACUGAUUUGAACAGGCAGCUCGCUUUUGUUCUGAAAUAAAAUCUUCCAAGUACAGAGAGGGUUACCAAGCAUGGAUCCUUGGCACUGUGGAAAAGGGAAACAUAACAGCCUGAAUCAUUGAUAAGCCUGGAGUUAUUGAGGUCCUACCUCGGGGGGGCCACAGCUACUGCUCUUGCUCAGAAAAUUCCAAUGCCUCCUGGGAUCCUAACUCCUGA
This is an RNA transcript of Carlito syrichta (Philippine tarsier), 1347 nucleotides long. It is a transcript of the gene named selenide, water dikinase 2-like, with no coding region annotated. The record is from RefSeq and is a predicted model, not a curated record. The transcript has a single exon. Lineage: Eukaryota; Metazoa; Chordata; Mammalia; Primates; Tarsiidae.